UACGGGGGGGGUAAGCGUUGUUCGGAAUUACUGGGCGUAAAGCGCACGUAGGCGGAUUUGUUAGUCAGGGGUGAAAUCCCGGGGCUCAACCUCGGAACUGCCUUUGAUACUGCAAAUCUCGAGUCCGAUAGAGGUGGGUGGAAUUCCUAGUGUAGAGGUGAAAUUCGUAGAUAUUAGGAAGAACACCGGUGGCGAAGGCGGCCCACUGGAUCGGUACUGACGCUGAGGUGCGAAAGCGUGGGGAGCAAACAGG
This 253-nucleotide ribosomal RNA is filed under the name uncultured bacterium. Its description in RNAcentral is "partial 16S ribosomal RNA". It matches the Rfam family "Bacterial small subunit ribosomal RNA", at positions 524 to 776 of the family's 1533-position model. The record is from RNAcentral.